GACGAACGCUGGCGGCGUGCUUAACACAUGCAAGUCGAACGGAAAGUCCCUGCUUUGGGGGGGUGCGCUAGUUGCGAACGGGUAAGUAACACGUGGGUAACCUGCCAUUGACUUUGGGAGAACUUCAGGAAACUUGGGCUAAUACCGGAUAGGAGCUCCUGCUGCAUGGUGGGGGUGGGAAAGUUUCGGCGGUUGGGGGUGGACUCGCCGCUUAUCGGCUUGUUGGUUGGGUGGUGGGUUAGCCAGGCUUUGACGGGUGGCCGUCCUGAGCGGGUGACAGGACCAAUUGGGAUUGAGCUACGGCCCAGACUCCUCCGGGAGGCAGCAGUGGGGAAGAUUGCACAAUGGGAGGAAGCAUGACCAAGCACAGCCGUGUGGGGGAUGACGGCAUUCGCGUUGUAAACCGAUUUCGCCUGUGACGAAGCGCGAGUGACGGUAAUGGGUAAAGAAGCACCGGCUAACUACGUG
RNAcentral lists this ribosomal RNA (468 nucleotides) under uncultured bacterium. RNAcentral's name for it is "partial 16S ribosomal RNA". It matches the Rfam family "Bacterial small subunit ribosomal RNA", at positions 28 to 507 of the family's 1533-position model. The record is from RNAcentral.